UUGAAUUGAACUAAGAAAUUAGUCACUCAUACUCAUGGCUUACAAUCACUAAAACAAAAGAAUAAAGAAAGAUACUCAAAAUAUAUGAUGAACUAAGUAAAAACCUUAAUAUCUUGCUUCUUCCAAAAUCACUCAUUUUAUAGCCUCAAAGACAACUGAAAAUCCCCAAUUAAUUAGGGAUUUUGAAAGCAAUCAAUUUAAAAUCUUCUCGUUCUGAUUUUUCUCUCCCUUUUUUUAGCCCUUCUCUUUUUGAAUCUCUCUCUGAUUCUCCAACAAACUUGAAGAUCUCUUUCUCAACUUUCCAACGAGCUAUCAUUUCCAAAACGGAUACUUACAGCUAAAGAUACGGUAAAAACACCGAGGUAGGUCUUCAACAUACGUUACAACAAAACGAUCAACAUGUCUAUUGUUUUUAACACUCAAAACGACGUCAUUUCACUUAGUGGCCUUCAUAACAAUUGUAGAGCUGGCUGUUAAGGGUCAAAUGGGCCUGGGAUGAGUUUAUUUGGACAUGUAAAACUCCAUAUAUGAAUUAAGUACUGAAACCUGCUGUGUGUGCUCAUUCUAAACAGUUCUCCUGGAUUCAGAACCACUUUUGAUCAAUAUUGAGGCUGAACUGGAUUUUGAUCCUUCUUAGACAUUUGUAGAGUUUUGUUUUAUCUUUCUUAUGAAUGAAACAGAUUCCAGUUUGGAGGACUAUAACUUCAUAGAUUCUUGAAAAACCGAACAAAGGUCAAGAUAAUAAAAAUGCUGAAAAUUUCUUAAUUUAAUGAUAUUAUUCCAAAAUUAAUUAAGAUCAUGUCUAAUUGAUAAAAAUUGUCUAACCAACUAAGUUAAACUUAAAAAU
RNAcentral lists this long non-coding RNA (847 nucleotides) under Jatropha curcas. Its description in RNAcentral is "long non-coding RNA (JCUR_LNC000463)". Lineage: Eukaryota; Viridiplantae; Streptophyta; Magnoliopsida; Malpighiales; Euphorbiaceae. The record is from RNAcentral.